CUCUGUCUGAUCCUGGAGCCUUUUACAUUCUCAUUAAAGUGCAUUCAAUGGCUCUGUGUUCUAGAGAUCAGCGUGAGGGAAUCUCAAAAGAGAGAGGUUUUUUUUUUUAUCACUAUCAGCCGAGUGUUAUCAGUUACACAUGUUACCGCUGGUAGUGCUUUACAGCGUGAAGCAGAUUAAAAGCUACGAGCAAACUGCAUUGCUACUGAUAGAAAAGAAAUGUAAAAAUCAUUAUCUCUCACAGCGAUUUCCCGUUUGGAUUGCGGACGCUUCCUUCAUUCAAACUCAGUGUGCAUGUAGAAUGAGAGUCUCCUCAUUAACCAAAAUAUUUUGGGAACCACAUGACUGACAGGAAGUGUUCAUGAGGCUACAUGACACAUAGAUAUUCCCUACCAGACAACGGGCAUAAACCUACAUGUUUACAAAAGGUUUAUUCCAAUAUACAGUACAUCAGCUGUCAAAGUCAAACAUCAAAACAUAGAAAAAUAUAUUACACAUACAUAAGUGUUAUUGUAGUUUUGGUUUAUUAUGGUGAUAUUGUCAUAUGUUUUCAUAAAUAUAUAUAUAUAUAUUUUUUAAAAUUGAUAUAGAUUUUCAGAAAUAUUAAACAUCUAAUAUCUAAAAAUAAAAAGCAGAAAGAUAAACUGACCUUUAAAGGUUAUCACUGAGCUGUAACAUCAGUCUGGAGAUGAUAUAACACAACUUUAAGUUAGUUGUGUUGUGUUAUGGUAUGAUAAGGUGUGUUGUACUGUAGUUUGGUAUGGUAAGGUGUGCUGUGUGGUGUUAUGGUAUGGUAAGGUGUGCUGUGCUGUAUUGUGUUAUGAUAUGAUAUGGUAAGGUGUGCUGUGCUGUGUUGUGUUAUGGUUUGGUACGGUAAGGUGUGUUGUGUUGUGGUUUGGUGUGUUGUGUUAUGGUAUGGUAAGGUGUGCUGUGUUGUGUUGUGGUAUGGUAAGGUGUGUUGUAUUGUGUUGUGUUAUGAUACGGUAAAGUGUGUUGUGUUGUGUUAUGAUAUGGUAAGGCAUGCUGUGUUGUGUGAUGGUAUGGUAAGGUGUGGUAAGGUGUGGUAAGGUGUGCUGUGCUGUGUUGUGUUAUGAUAUGAUAUGGUAAGGUGUGUUGUGCUGUGUUGUGUUGUGGUAUGGUAAGGUGUGCUGUGUUGUGCUAUGUUGUGUUGUGGUAUGGUAAGGUGUACUAUGCUGUGUUGUGUUAUGAUAUGGUAAGGUGUGCUGUGUUGUGUUAUGAUAUGAUAUGGUAAGGUAUGUUGUGCUGUGUUGUGUUGUGGUAUGGUAAGGUGUGCUGUGUUGUGUUGUGGUAUGGUAAGGUGUGCUGUGUUGUGUUGUGGUAUGGUAAGGUGUGCUGUGUUGUGUUGUGGUAUGGUAAGGUGUUCUGUGUUGUGUUGUGGUAUGGUAAGGUGUGCUGUGUUGUGUUGUGGUAUGGUAAGGUGUGCUGUGUUGUGGUAUGGUAAGGUGUGCUGUGUUGUGUUGUGGUAUGGUAAGGUGUGCUGUGUUGUGUUGUGGUAUGGUAAGGUGUGCUGGGUUGUGUUGUGGUAUGGUAAGGUGUUCUGGGUUGUGUUGUGGUAUGGUAUGUGUUAACCUGGCAUUAAAAUAGACAAA
Long non-coding RNA from Ictalurus punctatus (channel catfish), 1610 nucleotides. The record is from Ensembl. Lineage: Eukaryota; Metazoa; Chordata; Actinopteri; Siluriformes; Ictaluridae.